GACGAACGCUGGCGGCGUGCUUAACACAUGCAAGUCGAACGGUGAAGCGCCUUCCUUUUUGGUGGGUGUGGAUGAGUGGCGAACGGGUGAGUAACACGUGAGUAACCUGCCCCCUUCUUCUGGAUAACCGCAUGAAAGUGUGGCUAAUACGGGAUAUUCUGGGUCUGUCGCAUGAUGGGUCUGGGAAAGAUAUUGUUUCGGUGGGGGAUGGGCUCGCGGCCUGUCAGCUUGUUGGUGGGGUGAUGGCCUACCAAGGCGGUGACGGGUAGCCGGCCUGAGAGGGUGGACGGUCACACUGGGACUGAGACACGGCCCAGACUCCUACGGGAGGCAGCAGUGGGGAAUAUUGCACAAUGGGCGCAAGCCUGAUGCAGCGACGCCGCGUGAGGGAUGGAGGCCUGCGGGUUGUGAACCUCUUUCGCCAGUGAAGCAGGCCUGCCUCGUUUGUGGGUGGGUUGACGGUAGCUGGAUAAGAAGCGCCGGCUAACUACGUG
This 494-nucleotide ribosomal RNA is filed under the name uncultured bacterium. RNAcentral describes it as "partial 16S ribosomal RNA". It matches the Rfam family "Bacterial small subunit ribosomal RNA", at positions 28 to 507 of the family's 1533-position model. The record is from RNAcentral.